CUGCAGGGAACCCUGUCCCUGCAAAGGUACCCCCAGCAAGCCCAGCAGCCUGGACAUCCCUCCAGCUGCAUCCACGCUGGACACCGGACUGACCCCUUGCACAGGAUGGCGGCAUCACCCAUUCUCAGAGGAAGGUAGGAGACUGUGCUGAAUGUCACCUCCAGGAGCUGUAGGAACAGUCCCUUGACAAGGUCCCAGUGUGCCUUUCUCUGGCCGCCUGGUGUCUGGCUGGGUGUGCUUGGAGAGCACAAACCCAUGCCCUUGUUUGUGGUUUCCUUCAGCUUUGCCCCAGGUUCCCACAGACCGAGGGCACCACUCAGUCACCCCUGGCCCUUCAGUGCACUUGCAGAACUCACAGGUACCUUGGUGGAGCAAGAGCUUGUCAUGUUUGCUUCCCUUCCCUUGCCCAGAGAAUUCACCCAACCAAAGCCAACAGGAGUUUUCCCUGCAGGGAAGGCCAGAGCUGCCACCAAGGAGGGAAGCAGAGCCCCGUGGCUGUGGGAAGGACUGACCCUUUGCAGGCUGACAACAUGGUAAGUGGGUGCAGCUGUUGGAACAGUCCAAACCCUUCCCAACUGUCACCUGGACCUGGAGGCCCUCUUUGGUUGAGGCUGCAAUCCCUUGGAUGAAGUUGUCCCUGUGGAUACAAUUGGUACUUCAUGUUCCUAGGAAGGACCCUCCCCAGCUGGGCAAGCUUUGUGCAGCCCUGGUUUCUGUUGCACUCGGGGCAGCUCUUUCCCAUCCUGUCCAGAGCAAGACAAUGCCAUGACCCAGAUGGGAGUGCAGAGCAGGUCUGGACUGACAGGACAGUCAUCCAUGACCACAUCAGCCUGACAUUCCCUGAUGAUGGCAACGGGAUGAACUCGGAGCAGCUGCACAAAAUACUAAGGCACUGUGCAACCUCUCUGGAGUGCCCAUUAGUGGAGAGAAAGACAAUUCAUAUGGUUGUGACUGUCUUUCCUUUCAGUUGGCAACCAAGAGAAGAGACAGACUCGGCUCCAAUCCUUUGGAGUAUUGAUAAGAGAAGGUAUUGUGGGAAAUGACCCUGUGCCUUUUCUGUUUCUCCUGCCAGAGUCGGUAGGGUUUGGACUGAUCUCUCUUUUAUUUCUCCAGGUAGCAGAGAGGUUUCUUUCCCCUUUAGAAGAGAAGAUAGUGUACAGACCCCCUUAUUAGAGAAGAUAGUGUACUGACCCCUUUAGUAGAGAAGAUAGUGUACAGAGAAGAUAGUAGAGAAGAUAGUGUACCCCUUAUUAGAGAAGAUUGCUCUGCCUGCAGCUGUACCCAU
RNAcentral lists this long non-coding RNA (1285 nucleotides) under Manacus vitellinus (golden-collared manakin). RNAcentral describes it as "lncRNA (ENSMVIG00005016214.1)". The record is from RNAcentral. Lineage: Eukaryota; Metazoa; Chordata; Aves; Passeriformes; Pipridae.